This is a long non-coding RNA of Ctenopharyngodon idella (grass carp), 5266 nucleotides long. RefSeq lists it as uncharacterized. NCBI's taxonomy places the organism in Eukaryota, Metazoa, Chordata, Actinopteri, Cypriniformes, Xenocyprididae. The record is from RefSeq and is a predicted model, not a curated record. The transcript has 4 exons.
AAUAUAAACACUCCCAUCACUUCUGCAGGGUAGGGUGGAUUCAUUUUAUGCAUUCAUAUAGCUGAUUAUUAUUGCUUGCAGUUACAAAUCCAGAUUAGGAUUUGCGUCUUUGACCUCACACUGAAGCUGCUUCAUGUAAGAAACUGCUGGAUACAACAACCUUUCAAAUGCAGAAUUAUCCGAGACACGGUGAGAGUAUUCCCUGUUGAGAGACCUUAUAUGUUUAUUUAUUUAAAAAAACAUCAAUGAUGAAUUAGAAUCAACUUAGCUCUAAUAGCACAGCCGAUCUGGACUUCUUUGUUUUUACUUAAAAUUUUCUGCAUGUCAACAAUAUUCUUAGAGGUUUAGUCUUUUAAAUAUUUCUGUGUGAGUGAUAAAUGACAGGAGAUGUGUUUUGCUCAUAGUCUAGGACACAAACUUUAUUCUGUUGAUUUUGAGAGAAAGUCUGCUGAAUGGCUUUAUAUAUGUUAGUCGUGAGCUGAGACACUCUUGUUGGUAGCUGAAAACUCCCAUCAAAGUCAUAUUGAAUAAUUAUGCAGAGUUCAUGAGAAAAUGAGCUGAUUUAAUUAAAGUUCGGCUGGUUUUAGUUCUCACUACACGUUCCUUCUUGGUUUUGCAUUUUGCAGUUUUUCUGUAAUUGUUUGAUUUUAAAAAUAUCCUUCUUUGCAUUAGCCUUCAAGUGCACCAUUGUUAGAGUAAAACCAGUCAUGUUCUUUACUUCUUUUUUUAGCAGAAAGAAUGAUGAGAACCCUGUAUAAUUUGUCUGAUCUGAGAGAGUCCAGGUUUGGUCAGCCGCCUCCCAGACACGGUCUGAUCUUGCUGUGGUGGUUUGCUCAUAAAUGUGUUCAGAUUGACUCCAAUGAUCAUAUAAUUGCUUGCUGCAGCCCUUCAAAUGGAGCCUGCGGCUGAAUCAUCCAUCCAUCCAUUUUCCAAACCGCUGGUCCAAUGUGGCUACAGCAUAAUAUCAUUUUCUACAAGUAUAAAUUGCUUUUUAAUUUAUUAUUAAAUAGUUCAAUAAGGUUUAUACAUGCUAGUUUCCAUGACCGAUUCAAGAUAAAUAUUUUAAUUACUACAGGAGCUGCCAUUUUGCUAAAUUUCAAAUGGAAUUAAACAGCAAGCAAAAAAAAAAAAAAAAAAAAAAAACUAUGCAAAAGCAGCAGCCCUUCCAGUGCACUCAGUGUCUGAAUUCACUCACUCAUUUUCAUUCACUCACUAUAUUAAUGAAGUAAUGCAGCGAAUUGUGAAUGAGAUAUAAGGAGUGAUUUCGGACACAGCCAUAGUUUUCACAGUUUGUUUUUAAUUAUGAAGCUUGUGUCCAUUUGGACAAAUGGCUUAUUUGGAUGUUAAAUUAUUAUAAUCUAUGAUAAGUAUGUUUAAAUAUAAUUAUAAAUAUAUGCUUGUUCUAUAAACUUAAGAUAUGGUGCUGAGCUUUGGAUAUUUAUCACUUGAUUUUCUUGAUGAUUUAUUACAGUGAUGUAGAUAAAUAUUUCAGACAGAAGGUGAAACUUUAAUAUGAAAUCUGAAUAUGAGUGAGACAUUAUAGUUGAAUUUAUAGUUGAAUCUAAAAUAGCUUUAAUGUAAAUCCCCUCAUGAACAGUCCCUAAUGUGUUUCUGCAUAAGUUUCGCUUUCUGCAUGAUAAGUUUCUGUUCAUCAAAACAGCAACACAAGUACAACCUGUAUGACAACUAAUGUUUGUUACUUACGAUAGAGUAGUUUCUAUGCAGUGUUGUCAUGUCAUAUAAAUGAGACAGUCAGUGCCAAAGAUCUAAUAAGGCUUAUUGCUACAAGAUAUGGUGAAUCAGUGAAUCAGAUUAACCCUUCAUCUCACUGCAAUAAUUUUGUCAUUUUGGAGGAUCAGUUUUUCUCAGCUCAUUCAGAAUUGUCAGGAACAUGAUGAGGACCCUGUAUGAUUUGUCUGAUCUGAAAGAGUCCAGGUUUGGCCGGCCGCCUCCCAGACACGGUCUGAUCUUGCUGUGGUGGUUUGCUCAUGAAUGCGUUCUGAUCGACUCCAAUGGUCGUAUGAUUGCUCAGUGCGACCCUGAAAAUGGAGCUUUUGGCUUCCAUCGAUUCCAUAAUAGGGAGAGACUUCUUCCUUACACUAAACUACCAUACUAUGAAGUCGGCAACCUGCACAUCACUCACUCACUGCCACGUUAUGUCACUCAGUAUUACACGGGACAUUCAGACAACAGCAACAAAGAUCGCAUCAUUGUUUUAUUUAACUCAAGGUGGAACAGAUUUGACAAUGUUUAUGUGACACAGCACUCGGGUCAGGUGAAUUUUGACCAGAAUCACACUUACUGCAUUAGCAUCAAACUCAUGAAGGACAUUAAAGAUUUGAGCCGUACGGAAUUCCUCAGAGAACCCAUCCUUCCAAAACCACCCAAUCUUCCAGAGUAUUUGGCCAUAGACAUAAUUAACGGAGGCUAUUCCCAAGCAAGACCGGACACCACAGUCGUACGCACACCUCAGCCAGUGCAGAGUGAAUCCUGCUGUCUGAGUAAGAAAUGCUACUGUGUGCUGAUUUGUGUCUUGAUUUUACUGUUGCUCAUUAUUGCUGCUAUUGUCUUUUUAUUGUAUAAAAUGAAAUAAUGCGUGACACACUCCAAUCAAUGUCUUCGGCGGUUACGUCCUGAUUUAUAGUAAUUUCGUUUCAUAUUUGUUGUGCUUAUUCUUUGACAUAUACAAACAGAGAAUGUAUUAAAACUCCAAAAACCAUUGACUUGUGUUUGUGUGAUUUAGUUUUUUUAUUCAGCUUGUCUUUUACUUUGCCAUAAGUGCCAUCAAUAUACAUGUAAUAUCAUUAAAUAUAAAUCUUAAUAAAUCAUAAUACAUUUUAAUGUGAAUAAUAGCCCAUAUAUAUUGAAUAUUUUAUAUGAACUCUGAAUAUGAGUAAGACAUUAUAUAACUCAUGAACUGUCCUGUCUGCUCUAGUGUGUUCCUGCAUCAGUUUCUCUUUCCACACUGAUGAUCUUCUGUUCAUCUCUAUAGCAACAGACGCAACAAACUAUGUGUGUUACUAUAGAGUAGCUCUUUAAUUACUGGCUCCUUGAAUGUUUUACUACUAUUUUAAAUCUUUAAAUAUUUCAUCAUUGUUUUUUUCUCUCACACAGUCGUCCAUUCAGUUCAAUUCAAUUCACAUUUAUUUGUAUAGCGCUUUUCACAAUACAUAUUACAAUUUAGAGUAAUCUGUUAUUAGAGAUGACUGUGUCCAAAUUAUGUAAUUUGAAUAAUGUACACUGUAAAUAAAAUAGUUGAGCUAACUUAAAAAAAAUAAAGCACCUUAUCGCAUUCAACUUUUUAAGUUAACUCAACUAAUUCACUCGAGUUAAAGUCAACUUAAAAACUUUUGUUCAUCUGAUGAGUACAGGUAGUCUUUUGAAUUUAAAACUUCUUGUCAAGACAGCUAAAGAAUGUUUAGCAAUGAAAGCAGCUACAAUCCUUGUUUUCUUCAUCUCCAUGUUUGAUUCUCAAAGUUAACUUCACGACAUGAACAUCAUUUGCCUCUUAAAACUGGAGGCACACCCAUUUCACCCAGGCAAAUAAGUUGCAAAAACUGCAAUAAAAAUACCUCAUCACAUGUCUCAUGUUAACACAAAUCUCAAACAUUGUAAUUCAGUAAAAAUAUGAACUAUGAAACAUAUGACAGCUAAAUAACAGUGACAACAGCAGCAGCAUAAAUCAAGCCGGUUAAUGCAAAGCAAUAAUCAUUUUUAUAUAAUAGUUACCACAUAAUUUUUUCAAGCUGCAAUGCAUGCUGGGAACUGGCACAACAUUGUUGAAUGUAAACUCAAUUUGGAUAGUUGGGACAACAUUUGAACAAGUUUUGGACAAACACUUGAGAAUCUAAGUAGGUCAAUAAAAAAGGUUUUGUUAGCAACAUUUUCUUCUAACAAAUGUAAAAAUCGAUCAUUCGGGUUGAGUCGGUUUAUUAUCUUGAAUGAACUAAACAAGAAUGCUCUAAACAUCUAGCAGCGUCUUUGACCCCACACGAGACACUGUGAAGCUGCUACACGCAAGAAAUUGCUGGAUAACAACAAUCUUUUUCAAAUUACCAGAGACACAGUGAGCCCUGAAUUGUUACAGAUUAAGAGACUUUAUUUAUUUAUUUACAAAAAAUAAUUCACAAAUUAGAAUCAAAUUAGAUGGAAUAGCACAGCCGAUCUGGAUUUCCUUGUUUUUACAGAAAUCUCACUCAACUCAGAUUUUGAGGAUCAGUCUUUCUAUUGCUACAGAGAUCUUUCUGCUUGUAUUUCUGUGUAAGUGACCAAUAUAUUCUGCUGAUUUUGAGAGAAAAUCUGCUGAAUGAUUUUAAACAAGCACAUGAAUGUGAUCUGAGAGUACUACACUCUGAUUGGCAGCUGAAAACCUAAUCAAAUUAGCCAAAAAUUUGAAUAAGUGAACAUGAAAGGGAUCUGUAGAAUUUUAUGAAUAACAGGCGUUCCAGUUCCAGUUCACCAGUGAGGAAAUAAGAUCACCCAAAUUAACAAUAUUAUUGUUGUAUGUUUUUAACUGUUAGAUACAUUUGUGAAACUCAAGACCUCUGAUUUUGAGCUAAAAUUACCAUUGCUGUAUUUUUACAGAGAAUGCCCAAUAAGCCUGGACAUAAAAUAAAAUAAAAUAAGUAAUGGGACAGUAAAGAGUAAUGAAAUCAAAUAUGAUUCAGACUUUGUCCAGUGUGUGUGUCUGAUGCAGAGUGUGUUUGCUCAUAUGAUCUUAGACACGCCCACCAUCUGUCUGCUUCAGUUUCUGUUUCCUAGAUAGUCAGCUGACCUAUCCCUCGCUUCCUGUUGAACUAUGUAAGAACUAAGGUGCUUAUUAUUUAUUCACCUCAGACUCAUUUUACCCUGAAUUACUGAUUCUACAAAUACAUGCAGAAACGCUACGGUCAGUCUGCUUUGGUUUCACUUUCCCAGUUAUUCAUCUGUUCUUCCGCAGCUGUAGAAAGUAACACUCUUUCAAUAACAACAAAAACCAUCUGUUAAUAACACUUUGAGAAAAAACAAAACAAAUCCAACAGUAAAAAAGCAGAACCAAAUACUACAUUAGCAAACGUUUUAACUUCUGUAAAAGUUAUAGAUUUUAAUUUUAUAUUAGCCUAAUAGGCUAGGUAUUGUCAAAGACAGACGUUCUUAUUCGACUUUAGGUUGGCAUUCAUGCGUCUCUAGUGUCAUGAUCCUCCUUUGAUAAUCACCCAAAAAAGAAGAAGUGAGCAAAAGAAGAAGUGAGCUGCACAGACAAGGGUCUUCUCACAGCGCGUGAACA